AGAAUCACCUGGCGGUCUUGAUGAAACACAAGCUGCUGAGCUUUACUCCAGAAUUUCUGGUUCAGUAGGUCUGCAGUAGGACCUGAAAUUUUAUAUUUCUAACAAGUUUUCAGGAGCUGCUGAUGCCGCUAGUACAGGGCUCACAUUUUGAGAACCUCUGGUCUAGCAAGUUGCCACCAAGAAUGAAGAUUGGGCCAGAGAACAGGAGGAAAUUUGUUUUGCAACAGAAAACAUAAGAAAUUUUCCCUGCUUGGAAGAUACUCAUACAUACCAGAAACAAGUCAACAUUUUGAUUUCAAACAUCAAAAAAGGUGUCCAGAAAUCUCAAGAAUUUGAGACAUCCUAAGGAACUUUAAGUGCUGUGAGCCACAAGUAACAUCAAGAAAAGACAGGGAUGAAGAACCGCACUUACAAGCUAAGUGUAAGCUCAUCCUACACAUGUCAUUUGGACCAGACCAAGGCUGCUGUCAUGGAGGACCCACACCACAGCUUGGGAACCAUUCAUCUACCAGAGGGUCACAUGACUUCAAAUGACUCUUCUAGGGGCCACCUGCCAUGAUAGGGUACCAGCUCUUCCUCUGAAUUCCCAAUCCAUUUCUUGAGAACUACUGUUUCUAAUAAGGAUUUGCUCAAAAUGGAUUUGCAAAGAGAAAAAAAAUUUAAUGUCACACUGCCAUGAUAAGUCAACCAACCAUCUCAUAUAUCAAAGGAGAGAGGCAGAGAAAGAAAAGGAGGAGGAUAAAGAAGAGGAGGAAGAGGACGAAAGGAAAACCAAGAGGAGGAGAAGCCACUUCUUACUUUGGAUUAAUGUGAAACUAAAUAGUUUACUACAUUUUAAGUGGGAAAAUGUUAGUUGAAAAGAUAUUUGUCAACCACAAACAUUUGAAAGGGAAGCAUUCCAAAGAUUUUCACUGUUUAUGUUCAAAUUACAACAUGUGCAGAAAGUUGUGCAACUGAAAAUCCUUUCAAACAACAGCUACAAAAGAGAUUGGUCAGUUAGGACAGGAAUAGAAAGUGGAAACUUAGAAGACUGGCUACUCCUUGUGUAUGAUUGCUGGGGUGAGUCUGUGCUGAGAACUUUUUACAAAGGGUGUCCUUUGCUGAUAUGAGAGGGGGGUGUCAAACUUUUGAGUGAUCACUGUGGGUCCUCAGCUUAGACAUCUUCUCUGGCCCAAGAUGGCACCCCUUGCUCUCUUUCCAUGGGACACAGGGACCUUGCCAUCCUUCCAUCUUAUAAGCCUUCUGUCAUGAUUUUUACUUCAUCCUAGAUAGCCUUAAUUUGGGCCAGGUCUCCAGGUUCCUCCACUUUCUUCUGUCCCAUCCAUACCCCUCACCAAUCCUCUGUAAAUUCCUUUCCAGGAUUUUACUGAGAACUACAGAGAAACAGGCUGGGAAUAACAAACAUGGGGAGUUAUGUAGUUAACAUACACUUUGACAUCACCUAGUCAUUUUCCUGAGUAUAUAGAUAACUCUGUUAUUACUGGUUAUAAGGUCCAUGAGAAGCCUUUAUCCUUUUCUGGAAACCAAGAAAGCACCUGCCCUCCCUCAGUCCUAAGGGGAGAAUCUUUAUGGGUGUAACAAUAAAAUGGAUAAUGGGAAAUUCUGAUGUCCUCAAGCAUACAUUCAGAUGUCCCCAAUGAGCAUCAUUUGUAUAUCAAGGGAACUCCAGAGAGAUGAUCCACAAUUCAGUGUGUCCCUUUGGCCAGUAGAGAGGUCACCUUAGUCUGGAAAUAAUGAUGAUAUAAUGUUAAAGAAACCUAACUAAACAA
RNAcentral lists this long non-coding RNA (1769 nucleotides) under Homo sapiens (human). RNAcentral describes it as "uncharacterized LOC102724861, transcript variant 3 (LOC102724861)". The record is from RNAcentral. Lineage: Eukaryota; Metazoa; Chordata; Mammalia; Primates; Hominidae.